Molecule: signal recognition particle RNA, 188 nt
Filed under: Clostridia bacterium
Lineage: Bacteria; Bacillati; Bacillota; Clostridia
Description: partial signal recognition particle sRNA large type
Rfam family: Bacterial large signal recognition particle RNA
About the family: The signal recognition particle (SRP) is a universally conserved ribonucleoprotein involved in the co-translational targeting of proteins to membranes. Archaeal SRP consists of a 7S RNA and homologues of the eukaryotic SRP19 and SRP54 proteins. In most bacteria, the SRP consists of a 4.5S RNA and the Ffh protein (a homologue of the eukaryotic SRP54 protein).
Source: RNAcentral
UGACCUGUGGGGACAGCCCGAGGCAAGUGGCGAGGAGGGCCGGGUCCUGCGCGGCGCGGGCUUAUGAACCCCGUCAGGUCCGGAAGGAAGCAGCGGUAAGUAAGUGACCGCGGGUGCCGCAGGAGUGCCUAGCCGGAGUUAACUGCCCCGGUAGCGCCCGGAGGCCCAGGACAAGGGUGGGUGCACGG